GUCCCGCUGCAAAGCUUUCUCUGGUCCUUCUGGGAUCAUCAUCUAGGUAUCAUUGCCUGCCAGACUUCCAUCAUCUCUUGUCAGUCACCGCGGUUGCCUCGUCCACCAGACGCUGUAGUCUCCUUCCGUGGUAUAGUCACCGGCCCUGGAGCAGUGCUAAACCUCCGUGGGGUUCUUCAGGCAGAUUCUCUCCUUUGGUGAUCACCUACCGCCAGCCUCAGCGUCCGGGGAAAAGAAAAAUACGAUGAAGUUGUGGUCUCGGCAGCUCAGCCCUCACUUCACUACACUGGGGUCCCUGGGGUUUCCCAAAAGACCCAGUGAGAUGCAAAACUGAUUUACGCUCUUGAGCAUAUAAUGAGCUCCUGAAGGGAUCUCCAAGGGGCUCCCUCGCUGACCCCAUUAAAUAUACAGAUAUUUUCUAAAGUUGAACUCCAAGAAGUAUUUCUCACGGGAGCUGGAUAUAAAAAUCAAACUCCAUAUGUCUCCUCUAUGCCGCAGUGUGGGCCAGCUGUUGCCAAGGAUUUCUUGAAUGUGUUAAAACAAAGAGUAGUUUGAAGAAGACGUUGAAUGAGAAGC
RNAcentral lists this long non-coding RNA (576 nucleotides) under Fukomys damarensis (Damara mole-rat). RNAcentral's name for it is "lncRNA (ENSFDAG00000030871.1)". The record is from RNAcentral. Lineage: Eukaryota; Metazoa; Chordata; Mammalia; Rodentia; Bathyergidae.